Molecule: long non-coding RNA, 3888 nt
Organism: Anolis carolinensis (green anole)
Lineage: Eukaryota; Metazoa; Chordata; Lepidosauria; Squamata; Anolidae
Exons: 8
Source: RefSeq, a predicted model, not a curated record
AUUCAUGAAUUAUUCAUGGAAAUGCAAGGUUUAUUCAUGCUCUUGGAAAAGGGAGGAGAACUGGGGGAUAGGGGGAGAAGGGCCCCUUCUCAAGAUUUUUUUCGUUCUUUCUUUCCUGCCCCCCCCCCUUUUUGAUAAAAAUCCUUGCUUGUAUUUAUUUUUCUGUUGUCCCCUUCUGUAAAGGCGUGAUGUUGACACAGGCUUCUCAGAAAAUGAAAGCCAUAAAGGAUCUGUGAUGAUGAAGAACGACAGCAAAAGAAACACAAGACAAUCUCCUCUUCUGCAACCAGCAGCUGAAUACUGAAUAGCCAGAAGACAUUUUGUAAGAAGACUCCAAAGUGAAACAGGCAAGAACUAUCAUCCCACCUGCCAAUGGCUGCCAAACUUUAUGUUCUUGUCAGCUGGCCAGAUGGGAGCCGUGUCAUCAACAUUGAAAACAUCAAGGAGCCACGAAAGUCCUUCCACUUGUACAGAGUUGGUGAGCAGGUUUUGGCCCGAUGUCCAGGCUUCAGUGGUUUGUACUGGGGGAUUGUCGAAGGGAUCAGUGAGAAUAAAUAUGUUCUGGAGCGAAAGCUACAAGAAGAUAAAGAACUCCUAGAGAUGUUGGAAGAGCAGCCAAACAUAGCAAAUUGGGGGCCCACCCAACCCAAAAAGUCAAGGAAAUUCUUUCCCAAAUGGAAUCCGGGAUCUGGUUUGAGGAAAUGUAGCAAGGAUAAAUCCUUCAGGAUGGUGGAGGAAGCUGCAAAAGCUCAUUUCCAACAAGAACCUCCUCCAUCUUCUGGUCUACACGAGGGAUACAGCCAUAGUGCCAUGAUGAAGAGCUAUUCCCCUGAGUCAGUGAUUUCCCAGUCUCCGGGUCCUUUUCAGACAUCAUCUUCUUUCCUAUCUUUAUCUGCCAGUGGAAUAUCUCAAAGAAGUGGAACAAGAGUGAACCGAGGAAGCCGAGAUUACUCGACCAUAAUAACAAGGAGAAAAAUGGAUGAUCCUGUAGAACAAUGUCAGAAGCGGAUCUGUAUAAACAGCUUUGAUGAGUCAAAGGGCACCAAUUCCCUGGAAAUUGAUGGUUUGGAGCUUGUUCGGAAAGCUAUUGAAAAGGAAAGAGAGGAGAAGAUUGAACAAUUGGAGCGAAUGGUCUUGGGUCUCCAGCGAGAAGUCCUCUCCUUGAAGCAGAAGGUGCAGCACCUUGAAGGUGCCUCUUUUCAGGAGCAGAAACCUCCAUGCCAACCGUGUGAGGUCUCUGAACUAUUCAAUGGAUACACAAGGGACCAACUCAAAGAGGCCAUCCGGUUUGACCAAAAAAUCAGCACCGCUUGCAAAACUCUCCUCUACAAGCUCUUCACAUCAGAUUACAUCCAAAGUCAUUCCAUCACCGGGAGGAGAGGCAAUACAUUCCGGGAAGCUAAGCCCAUGAUGGAUGAGAGGUGCAUCAAAAUAAUCCGAGUGUUGCUGAAGCAGAAGUUUGGGGACCAUCUGAGUGAUACAGUGAUCACUGAGAAGAUCCAAAAUGUGCAGAAAGCAUUGAGGCAGAAAUUUAAGACUGAAUGUCUCUGAUUCUCCAGUAACCAGGCAUAUCCCACCUGCAUACAAGGAUAAAGCUUUAAAAUAUAAUUACUUUGGAUUUUCUAUUGAGUUGAUAUCAUCCUAAAUAUUUCCUAUCAUCCACUCUUUCACAUAUGGAAGUAUGGCACUAUGAUUCCACUUUAAACUCCAUGUCAACAUCCUAUAGAUUCAUGAAAUUUGCAUUUAGAAGAUGAAUAUUGAGAACUCUCUCCCACAAUGUUCCAAUGUCUUCUAUACUACAAAUCCAAGAAUCCCAUAGAAUGUUGCCAUGGCAGUUAAAGUAGAAUCAUAGAACUAUAAUUCAGUAUAAAAAAUAGAAAGUUAUUCCACAUGUGAACCUCCUUUUAAAAUAUUGUUUGUGAAUAGCUGAUGCACUGUAAGUGAGAAUACAAGUUUCUUGCUACCCUGUGGAGCUCUAGUCUUUGCUUCUUCUGGCAAGGGCUAGGUAGUAAGUGACGCAGAGAGUUGCUGCUAGUCAAAGUUGAAAGCAUUGAAGAAAACAAACUAAUUGUCUCAAUGAGUAAUAUGAAGCUUUAUAUUUUAGCAGUACACUUAAAAGCAGCAUAUUCCUGCACAUUUUAUUUUAUGGCAUGGGAAGUUAUAUAUCACAGAUCCAAGAAUUUGGGAAGUUGUUCUCCAGAUGAAUGUUUCCAAACUUUGUUUUUUCACUGUGUGGAAUCCUAUUGGUGAUUUAUGUCUUCAUAAAUGUCCUUGUGACUUUGGAAAUUAGAAUUGGACAAUUUCAUAAUAUUUAUAUCUAGUAAGGGAAAAUGGUUGUUUUUCUACAUAAGGGAGUCAGCAAAUACAGCAAAUAUGCAUUGGGAAUGAUGCUCAAUUAAUGUGCAUUUGUCCAUUGUACAUCAGGACACAAAAUAGACAGUACCAAUGAACAUCAGGAGAAACGCUUGCUGUGGUCCUCUUCCACAUCUUUGCAGUUCAGUAGCAGGGAUUUCUAGCAGCUUGGCCAUGUAGCUACAGAUGGAUAAAAUUAUGUAAUAUAGACUAUGAUUGUCAUGGCUAAUGCCAGCAUGAGGAGAUGGAGGAAGGAUGACUUCUCCCGGUCUUCUAGUUGGGCUCAAAUACAGAGCAAGAGCAGGUGCAGCCAGACAGACACUGAAGAGGCCACCACUUCUGAACAGGAACAACAGCCACACCAAGUGGACAAUGAAAAACUUACCACUCCUUUGGGCUCACAGCAAGGGCAGGAUUGGGACCUUAAACUAGGAGACCAGGGGUUAAAUAUUCCAGACUGGCUACAAUUAAGGACAGAUGGGAUUCAAGUGUAGAGAUCUAGUCAUUUGGCUGAAAAGAGGGCCAGCAGGUGGGAGAACUUGAGAAAUCUGUAUACAUAGCUGAAGUCUGGAAUAGUUGCUGGUGGCAACGUUGGUUUUUGAGCUGCAGCCUUGAUAAUUGUGCUUUGUGCCUUGAACCUUUGAAAGACAGGCUAUACCUUGGAUUGUGGAUUAUUCCUGGAAAUUGUGUUGAUGAAAUAACUUGGCUUUAGAAUAUCGGAAUGGACUUAUGGCUUACUCUCUUGUCUCAUCCUUUCUUGACCGAUUGAUUACUGUGUUGACCUCAGACUUCCCCUGGACUAAGCUUGUGUGCUCAGCUGCUUUACAGAGACAAGCAGGGCAGGACUCUGAUAAUGACAGAGGAUUCUGCUCUAUGUUAAUUGGUAUAACCUGUUGCCAUUAUGUUCUUCUACAUAUACAUCAUUUUGAGCUAUGUCACACUCUCUUUUUCUGUUAAAAUAGUUCAUAUAUUAUUUACAUUAGGCAUAGCUCUGCGUUUACAUAGAAAACAAGAGAGUCCGAGUGGAAGGAAAAUGAGGUUGUGGGCUCUCUCUGGGAGUGCAUCCUUAUUUCUUCUCCCUCUGAGAUGAGACAAAUGUGUCUUUCCAUUUAAAUCCUCAGUCCCCACCAGUAAGCAGUAUCAAGCCUCCCAGGACUUGAAACCUACAAGAUAUGUGUCCAGGUGGAGUGUUAUGUUCAUUAAGCCUGAUGUAGGCUCUUGACUCAGUUGAUCAGGACUCAAUCAACUAUUACUUGGUGAGCUUUGACUCAAGCAACAAGAAGGGAGCAAGAAGAUUCUAUCUCCCAACCAGAUGGUGGUAAACCUCAGCAAAUACUACAAUUUUUUUCUUUAUUUAAUGAUGUCCUUCAUUUUGCCUAAUGGAUCUCAAGUACAAUUUACUCUUCUCCACAAAGGGCUAGAGAACCCUUCAGAAAGAACACUUCAUGGCAGCAGAAGUGUACACCAUGACAUUUAAAUCUGGAUGAGUGGUACAUAUUUUUGCCUGGCUUAAUAAAUGUGUGGCUGUUUUGUGGA